CUACAUUCUGGGUGAAACCUUUGUCAGCUGAAGCAAAAUGCCUGAGCAUUUGCUUUAAAUUUUUUACAUUCAGUUUUUAAAAUUAACGUCCAUUUUGGAGAGACUAGAUGAAGUUGUUAAUGUGUUCUCCAGCAGUGAAGGAAGGCUCCAGAACUGCCCCAGGGCUGCUUUCCUCACUCAGGGCACCUGCUUUGCAAGAGGGGACACUACUCCUCCUAGACACUGGACUCCAGAAGUCUUGGCAACUCGUUGUAGCCUCCUGUCUAGCACUUAGGAGAUGCACAGUUGUUAACUGA
This 296-nucleotide long non-coding RNA is filed under the name Mustela putorius furo (domestic ferret). RNAcentral's name for it is "lncRNA (ENSMPUG00000029983.1)". The record is from RNAcentral. Lineage: Eukaryota; Metazoa; Chordata; Mammalia; Carnivora; Mustelidae.